UUAUGUUUACAGAGAAAGUUACCUGAACAGGAUGUGGUUCAAGGCUCCUAUCUUGCACUUCCAUUGACUUUACUUCUGCUGUUAGCUGGGUACAAUCAUGAUAAGUUGAUGCCCCUGCUGCUGCACCUGACAAGCCGUCUGCAAGGUGUGCGUGCACUUGGACAGACAGUAGCUGACACUGGCAAUCCAGAGGACGCAAAGAGACUUCAGAAAAGACAAAAGACACGGAGGACGUAAAGAAAAAAAAGCACUAUGGUGUGAAGUGACAUCGAAGUCAUGCUUGGGCCCUUGGGACAUGCUAUGAAAAAACUCCUUUCUUUAGAAGGAACCACAGACAUCAAAUACAGUUUUACGUUAUACUGUUUUUUUUUUUUAAUAGACCGAAUUGUUUUGUACAUUUUGGAUGUUCAUAAAAAGAUUCUAAAUUUAGUUUGGAAAUGAACAGGUGUGACCACUUUUUGUCAUUUUCCACUGGAGAUAAUUUAUUUUUUAUCAUCACUAAAAAGCUUGAUGACACUUGAACCUUAUGUAAUCUAAUUUAUCUCAAACAUAUUUCCCAAGGAAGGUCCAAUAAAAAGAGCGUGAUUUUCUUUUUAA
Molecule: long non-coding RNA, 597 nt
Organism: Nanorana parkeri
Lineage: Eukaryota; Metazoa; Chordata; Amphibia; Anura; Dicroglossidae
Exons: 2
Source: RefSeq, a predicted model, not a curated record